AAACCAUGUUGUGGGCAAUGCCUCAAAAGAUCUUUAUAUCUUUCCCAUGCCUCAUAAAGUGCUUCACUCUCUUAUUGUGUAAAAGAUGCUACGUCAUGCCAAAGCUU
Molecule: small nucleolar RNA, 107 nt
Organism: Dioscorea cayenensis subsp. rotundata (Guinea yam)
Lineage: Eukaryota; Viridiplantae; Streptophyta; Magnoliopsida; Dioscoreales; Dioscoreaceae
Source: RefSeq, a predicted model, not a curated record